GGGGAUGUAGCUCAGUGGUAGAGCGCAUGCUUUGUCUGUAUGAGACCCUGGGUUCAAUCCCCAGCAUCUCCA
Molecule: transfer RNA, 72 nt
Filed under: Chelydra serpentina (North American snapping turtle)
Lineage: Eukaryota; Metazoa; Chordata; Testudines; Chelydridae
Rfam family: tRNA
About the family: Transfer RNA (tRNA) molecules are approximately 80 nucleotides in length. Their secondary structure includes four short double-helical elements and three loops (D, anti-codon, and T loops). Further hydrogen bonds mediate the characteristic L-shaped molecular structure. tRNAs have two regions of fundamental functional importance: the anti-codon, which is responsible for specific mRNA codon recognition, and the 3' end, to which the tRNAs corresponding amino acid is attached (by aminoacyl-tRNA synthetases). tRNAs cope with the degeneracy of the genetic code in two manners: having more than one tRNA (with a specific anti-codon) for a particular amino acid; and 'wobble' base-pairing, i.e. permitting non-standard base-pairing at the 3rd anti-codon position.
Source: Rfam by way of RNAcentral